Molecule: long non-coding RNA, 1468 nt
Filed under: Homo sapiens (human)
Lineage: Eukaryota; Metazoa; Chordata; Mammalia; Primates; Hominidae
Description: HSALNT0033541
Source: RNAcentral
UUCGUCGCCAACGAGAAAUUGGGGUCGGCCCGAAAGCUCUAGAAUGCACCCCUCUUCCUCCCCGGGGCCUUCCACCUCCGCGAGUUUUAUGACUUAAAAAAGCCCACAGGCUGGUCUGAAGGUCGGAGGCCUAAUUUUAACGCGUUUUCCUCCCUUUAAUUUGAAACGGGAACGCGAAUGACUGUAAAAUGUGGGCACAAUAUUUAAUCUCUCGCCUUUUUAAAGCUUAAUAGUGGAUAAUAGGGGGGCAGUAUCAAGGGAUAAUUUGGGUCCCCACAGUACCAAAGCAUUUAGAAACCUCUGUUUAAUUUAAGGAAUGAGAUAAGUUACUGCUUUUCUAGACUUCCUAGCAUGGGCUGUUGUGCUGGAGAGAACGAGAGCUACGAAGAGACUACAGUGCCUCUGACUUUUUCAUAGGACAGUUGGCCGAGGAAGACAAACAUAAAGAUGAAGUGCUUAAUUCAAGGUCACACAAUGUCGGGGAUGGACCUCCAGAUUUCCUUACUGACCUGCAUUAUCUUGUGGAUACCUGAGUGAAUUCCACACCACCCAUUUUAUAGAUGAAACCACUGAGACAUGGAGCAAUUGACUGAGUAGUCACUGCCCCACCCCUGCCUGGAGCCUCACACAUGACUCGCCUCCUCUCAGUGACCACAGGAAAACAAGCUCAGGGCUCCCACUGAUUGUACAUUAUGGUGAGACGUGGUCUUGUAACACAGUGGUUAAGAAUGUGACUUUGGAGCCAGCCUGCUAGGGGCUGAAUUCUGACUCAGCCAUUUACUAACUGUGUGACCUUAGGUGGAGUCUCACUCUGUAGCCCAAGCUGGAGUGGCGUGAUCUCGACUCACUGCAACCUCCGCCUCCUGGGAUCAAGUGAUUCUCGUGCCUCAGCCUCCUGAGUAGCCGGGACUACAGGUACGCACUAUGACACCUGGCUAAUUUUUUGUAUUUUAGUAGAGAUGGGGUUUCACCAUGUUGCCCAGUGUGGUCUCAAAUUCCUGAGCUCAGGCGAUCCUCCCACCUUGGCCUCCCAAAGUGCUGGGAUUGCAGGUGCGAGCCACUGCGCCCAGCCUAUUCCGAAGUAUUUUUAAAUAGCUAUUGUAAAUGAGAUUGUUUUCUUCAUUUUUUUGAUAGUUCGUUGUUAUUGUAUAUAAACACUACUGAAUUUUGCAUGUUGAUUUUGUUUCUUUUUUUUAAAAAAAUACUAACAGACAAGCAAAUGCAUGUUGAUUUUGUAUCCUGCAACUUUACUGAAUAUGUUUAUCAGUUCUAACAGUUUUUUGGUGAGUCUUUACUAUUGUCUAUCUAAAGAUCAUGUCAUCAACAGACAGACAAUUUAACUUUUUCCUUUGCGAUUUGGACAAAUUUUAUUUCUUUCUCUUGACUAAUUGUUCUGGCUAGGAUUUCCAAUACUGUUUUCAAUAGAAGUGUCUGAAAUAAGCAUUCUUGUCUUAUUACUAAUCUUACG